UACGAAGGGGGCUAGCGUUGCUCGGAAUUACUGGGCGUAAAGGGAGCGUAGGCGGACUGUUUAGUCAGAGGUGAAAGCCCAGGGCUCAACCUUGGAAUUGCCUUUGAUACUGGCAGUCUUGAGUACGGAAGAGGUAUGUGGAACUCCGAGUGUAGAGGUGAAAUUCGUAGAUAUUCGGAAGAACACCAGUGGCGAAGGCGACAUACUGGUCCGUUACUGACGCUGAGGCUCGAAAGCGUGGGGAGCAAACAGGAUUAGAAACCCCAGUAGUCC
Molecule: ribosomal RNA, 273 nt
Filed under: uncultured Caulobacter sp.
Lineage: Bacteria; Pseudomonadati; Pseudomonadota; Alphaproteobacteria; Caulobacterales; Caulobacteraceae
Description: partial 16S ribosomal RNA
Rfam family: Bacterial small subunit ribosomal RNA
Source: RNAcentral